GGCCUAGCUGAGAAGCCGAAUUACACAAUAAGAAAAUAAACCCCCCUUUGUUCUCUAACUAAUUCCUUUAUAUAGCUGCUGGCCUCCCGCACAUUCUAGCUGAUAUUCCUGCUCACUUGGUCCAUGUCAGCAAACCUUCUGGAAUCUCCCGUAGCCUUGGGCCUCCUUGAGUACACCUUCAACUCUUUCGGCCCUUUAUCUUUCCAGCCCAAUUUCUUAAUCUGAUCCAUAACAAUUUUUCUAUCUCUUCUAUAGUUUUCACGUAAAGAGAACUUUUGCUCUAUUUACCUCAUCUCAUAGGGAUGUGUGAGGAGGAUUCUUUUUUUGCCCUUAAUAAUCAUCUGUUGAUCUCCCCCAAAUCUAAUCAACACAAAUAAUUCUUUUCACUAUCAAUUUCUCAAACACCAUACCCAGAACCCAGAAUUGGAAAACAACAUUAACAAAAUAGGCGUCUUUUUCCUUUAUGUUG
Molecule: unclassified non-coding RNA, 469 nt
Filed under: Hevea brasiliensis (rubber tree)
Lineage: Eukaryota; Viridiplantae; Streptophyta; Magnoliopsida; Malpighiales; Euphorbiaceae
Source: RNAcentral